GACGACUGUCCGAACUUCCGUCGAGCUCUCGAACUCCCAACGUGAUCAUUGUCAUGACUCCGGCGCAACUCCUACUGUAUGUCUUACUUUCAUUGUAGUUAAUCCUGCACACUUAUCUUAACACAUAGAUUAGAUAACAAAUGACAAUUGACUUCAUCAUCAAAAUCCGAGAUUCAACAAUCUCCCCCUUUUUGAUGAUGACAAUCAAUUGAUAAUGGAGUUAACCUUAACUCCC
This 235-nucleotide long non-coding RNA is filed under the name Musa acuminata (dwarf banana). RNAcentral describes it as "long non-coding RNA (MACU_LNC011808)". Lineage: Eukaryota; Viridiplantae; Streptophyta; Magnoliopsida; Zingiberales; Musaceae. The record is from RNAcentral.